Molecule: RNA transcript, 1811 nt
Organism: Poecilia latipinna (sailfin molly)
Lineage: Eukaryota; Metazoa; Chordata; Actinopteri; Cyprinodontiformes; Poeciliidae
Gene: pcgf3
Gene name: polycomb group ring finger 3
Exons: 11
Source: RefSeq, a predicted model, not a curated record
ACCCACUCACCCUCUCAUCGCACAGUCUGCGCAUGCUCAACUUUUCUCCCCAGAGUUUCGGCCUGUUCCGCCACCACUCGGUGAUUUUCGUCUCUUUGUUACACUGAUAGUGGAUUUAACUCGGAUUCAACCCAAACAUCCAGCGGACUGUGCGGCUCUCAAACAGGCUUUGAUGAGAGGCACUCCAUGAUGAGCAGCUAACGCCGUCGGCCGCACAACCGCAGGAAGAGACGUGGCUGCUGCUCCACACACAGUCGACGCAUGGCGGUAUUAGGGAACCCCGACAUGCUGACGAGGAAGAUAAAGCUGUGUCACAUCAACGCCCACAUCACAUGUCGCCUGUGUGAGGGCUACCUGAUCGACGCCACCACCGUCACCGAGUGCUUACACACCUUCUGCAGAAGCUGCCUUGUAAAGUAUCUGGAGGAGAACAACACGUGCCCCACGUGUAGGAUUGUUAUUCAUCAGAGCCAUCCACUGCAGUACAUCGGCCAUGACCGAACAAUGCAAGACAUCGUCUACAAGCUGGUACCGGGACUUCAAGAGGCGGAGAUAAAGAAGCAGAGGGAUUUCUAUCAGAAGUUGGGCAUGGAGGUGCCUGGGGACAUUAAAGGAGAGCUGUGCAACAUGAAGACUCAUCUAGAUCAGCGAAAUGGCGACACAAAAUCAGAAGACACGGGGAAUAAGGAGGCCGGAGAGGAGAAGCCAGAGGAGGACAACGACUAUCACCGUAGUGACGAACAGGUCAGCAUCUGCCUGGAGUGCAACAGCAGCAAACUUCGAGGUCUGAAACGUAAAUGGAUCCGCUGCUCGGCACAAGCCACCGUCCUCCACCUCAAAAAGUUCAUCGCCAAAAAGCUUAACCUGACAUCGUUUAACGAGCUGGACAUUUUAUGCAACGAGGAAAUCCUGGGAAAGGACCACACUUUGAAAUUUGUUGUUGUGACAAGAUGGAGAUUUAAGAAAUCUCCGCUCCUGCUCCAUUACAGACCGAAGAUGGACCUGCUGUAGCUACAAUGGACACAAUGGUUGUUUUAUUUGGAUCCUUUUGGUCGGCUCCUUCGCCGCAGACUUUGUGUCGCUAACUCUCUUCCGUAGAAACUUUCCCUUCAUUUCUAACGAUUUUUAUAUUUCUGGACUCAUCAGCUCCACUUGCAGCUUUUUGGUGUUUAAAUGUGGAGAAAAGGCAUUUAAAGUAAAAACAUGUCAGGAUGGUCGUCUCACUCCCAGCUGGAGAAGCUGCACAGUCUGCAGGUUCAUGCCUGAAAAAUGUAUUUGACAUUUCAGUUUUUGAUUCUGCCACAAGUAUUUUAUUUUUUUUUAUUGUUUUGCAGGACAGCCAGCAUUCUAGAACACAAAUUCAGGUUUUAACAGGGCGUUACUUAGAGCAUUUUAAUAUUGAAAUUGAGAAUAAAAUGACCACAGCUGGGUCGUUUGGUGCUUUUUAAAUGUGCGUUUGUAAAAUUAAGGAGGUUCAUUCUGUCACAACAUGCUGUUCUGAACUGUGUGAUGCAGCAAAUCUGCUAAAGCUCUUCUCUUACAUCCCCACAUCUUAGAAAAGUUUCUUACAUUUCUGCUUUUCAAAUCUGUUUUUCCCAAGCAAAUGCAGAACUGUCACCUUUUCACAUUUGAAAUUUUUUAUUUAGAAGCUUCUUCAUGAUGUGGAAAAACUGAAACGUUGUUUGAAAUCAUUCAAGAAGUGAAACUGGUAUUUAUUUUUCAGAAUUACAACUUACAGAAACACAAUAUUUUCACUUUCUGAAUGAAUGACUGGUAUUUUUAUCAUUUCAAUAAUAAUCCCACUUACUGAC